This 506-nucleotide ribosomal RNA is filed under the name uncultured bacterium. RNAcentral describes it as "partial 16S ribosomal RNA". It matches the Rfam family "Bacterial small subunit ribosomal RNA", at positions 28 to 523 of the family's 1533-position model. The record is from RNAcentral.
GAUGAACGCUGGCGGCAGGCCUAACACAUGCAAGUCGAACGGCAGCACAGGAGAGCUUGCUCUCUGGGUGGCGAGUGGCGGACGGGUGAGGAAUACAUCGGAAUCUACCUUUUCGUGGGGGAUAACGUAGGGAAACUUACGCUAAUACCGCAUACGACCUUAGGGUGAAAGCGGAGGACCUUCGAGCGUCGCUCGGAUAGAUGAGCCGGUGUCGGAUUAGCUAGUUGGCGGGGUAACGACCCACCAAGGCGACGUUCCGUAGCUGGUAUGAGAGGAUGAUCAGGCACACUGGAACUGAGACACGGUCCAGACUCCUACGGGAGGCAGCAGUGGGGAAUAUUGGACAAUGGGCGCAAGCCUGAUCCAGCCAUGCCGCGUGGGUGAAGAAGGCCUUCGGGUUGUAAAGCCCUUUUGUUGGGAAAGAAAAGCAGUCGGUUAAUACCCGAUUGUUCUGACGGUACCCAAAGAAUAAGCACCGGCUAACUUCGUGCCAGCCGCCGCCGUAA